This 1534-nucleotide long non-coding RNA is filed under the name Homo sapiens (human). RNAcentral describes it as "HSALNT0316914". The record is from RNAcentral. Lineage: Eukaryota; Metazoa; Chordata; Mammalia; Primates; Hominidae.
CCCAGUGGGGAAGGGGAAAGCUAUUGAUUAAAACAAAAACUAUUUUGAGUUUUUGUUAUUAUGAGUUGAGCUCCUUAAUGAAGUUUUUCUAUUAUGGCUAUAUUGGCUGCACCCUAAAUGGGGUGUCCUGGGUGAACCAAAUGCUGGUGUAGGGAAAGGAAUGGGAAUGUUGAGGGGAUGGGAAGAGGCAUCAAGAACAGGAAUAUAAUUUUCCUACAGUGCUGUUCUGCUGAGACUACAGAGUACCUCAGGGAGUCAUGCAUCCUCUUCCUGUUGCUUUACUGAAUCUUAAAGAGUGAUACAGUACUAAUGAUGCCAUUCUAGCAACUGGAGCAGCUUCAGGGGAGAGAGCACAUUAAGGGUGCUGGGAUGGUAAUGGUUGGGAGGAAGCUGAAUGGUAGUAAGAGAGACAUUCUGUCCUGAGAACUCUGAUCCAGGAUCUGAAUGAUGCAGUGUCGCAAUCCCAUUUUAUAAAUGAGGCAACCAAAACUCGAACAGGACCAUAUUGCGACUGAAACAAGGCAUAACAGGUCUUUGACUGGCUAUCCUGUGGAUGUGGACUCAGGCUAGCCUGCGCAAAGUGAAAGACAGGCAAUUAGAUUGAAAAAUACCUGUGAUUCAAAGAAGUCACAAGUCACAGAGACAAACUUUUCCCAGUGUGUUCGAGUCAGAGAACCUUUGCAAAGACCAACAGGCUAAAAGAGAAAAUACAAUGUCAUGACACAGCUAGAAUAUGUUUCCAAGCCUCCCCAACACGUGUGACUGUGUAUAAUUGAGUUCUAACCACAGGAAGGUGAGCAGAAGUGAGGUGUAACCAUUUCCAGAUCUGGCUCAUAAGGGUCUCCCACGUUCUCACUGUCCUCUAUGCUCUUUCUCUGUGCACAGCUUGAUGCAGAUGAGCAGGUAACCAUGGAAGUCGUGAGCUGAGGCUGCAGAGUCUAGAGCCAGAGUGUGGAAUAAACUUGGGUCUCAAAUCACCCCUGGAGCAAAGCACCCAUCUAAUCAGGAACUUCUACUUUCAACUUUACAUGCGUGAGAAAUGAACUUCUAUCAUGUUAGAGAAAUCCUUACACGGCGCCCUUGAGAGCUUUCAUACUGCAAGUCAUCCAUUUUCCUCCCCUCAAACCUGGCAUCGGAGUUUAUUGAAACAAAGCAAAAUAAAACAAAUAGACAAAGCUCUACCUCCAUCACUUCUGCAGUCUACAUUAACCCCACGUCCAGAAUAUUCACACCUCAGGUCUUUUUCUCACAAUUGAAACACUGGUUCAGAGCCUAACGGAAGGUCUUGGAGGUAAAAACACAACUUGGGGCAACUUUUCCAUUCUGUUCUGCAUGACCCCAAUGGGACUUCUCAGAAACCCCUCUCAUGAAUUAAACUUUGUUCUGUCUAGAGCAUUAGAAUAAGCUUAUGGGCACCUGCCAGGAGAUUAUAAAGUGGGCCAUUUAAAAGAUGACAGAUAUUGAGCACCCUUGACCCUGUAGAAAGAGUGUACCUACUUGCUUUCCCUAGGGCCCUUAAUGGUUUAUAAAAACA